CCUAAUUGAUCCUGUAAGUCGCUCUGGAUAAGAGUGUCUGCUAAAUGACUGACU
This is a non-coding RNA of Salmo salar (Atlantic salmon), 54 nucleotides long. The record is from Rfam. Lineage: Eukaryota; Metazoa; Chordata; Actinopteri; Salmoniformes; Salmonidae.